Molecule: ribosomal RNA, 253 nt
Filed under: uncultured bacterium
Lineage: Bacteria
Description: partial 16S ribosomal RNA
Rfam family: Bacterial small subunit ribosomal RNA
Source: RNAcentral
UACGUAGGUGGCAAGCGUUGUCCGGAAUUAUUGGGCGUAAAGCGCGCGCAGGCGGCCUCUUAAGUCUGAUGUGAAAGCCCCCGGCUCAACCGGGGAGGGCCAUUGGAAACUGGGCGGCUUGAGUAUAGGAGAGAAGAGUGGAAUUCCACGUGUAGCGGUGAAAUGCGUAGAGAUGUGGAGGAACACCAGUGGCGAAGGCGACUCUUUGGCCUAUAACUGACGCUGAGGCGCGAAAGCGUGGGGAGCAAACAGG